Molecule: long non-coding RNA, 703 nt
Organism: Populus euphratica (Euphrates poplar)
Lineage: Eukaryota; Viridiplantae; Streptophyta; Magnoliopsida; Malpighiales; Salicaceae
Exons: 2
Source: RefSeq, a predicted model, not a curated record
UGCGCUCUCGUCUUGAAAAGCGAAAACAAAAACAAAACAAAAUCCAGGCAGGCAGGUACUCUUUCAUUUAAUUUAUGAAGUUCUUUGUUCGGUAAGAAAAUCUAAAAUCAAAGCAGCAAGUUGUAAUACACGUAUGAUAUACAGGGCGAUGAAUCCUCGAACAGACAAGAUAGUGAGGAGGACAACAAUGGUAGCCACUGCUGUUGCUUCUUAUUUCCUCUUAACUGCUGACUAUGGUCCUCAACCCAAUGCUGUUGAACCCAUCAAAAGGGCCAUAUUAUCAGCACAAAGUUCUGUGAAAGAGUUCAUCUUUGGAUCAGGAAAAGAGCCCUGAGUUAGUCAAAUGGAGAAGGUGAGCUCUAGCAGUGCUAAAGAGCAUUAACAAGGAUACAGGGACACAAUUUUGCAUGGCACCAUGAUGGUUCUAGGCUAAGUUUCUUAUGGCCAUUGUCAAAUAGAGGUAUCAUGAGACCAAGCUCCUUUUUAGCUUUGCUAGAAACUUUCUUUAUAUCUGUACAGUUUUUGCCAAACUCAGUACUUAGGAUGCUUUCUGUAGCCACAUAAUUUAAGUGGACGCUGAUGUCCAUCUUUUGCCUUUUCACUCUUUCUUAAGACACGCUAUUCUCCCUGCUUGGAUGGUUGAAAUUUAGAUUUGGAAUAUCAUUGUGGCUGACUACGUAAAAGUGGCCAAAAGUUUUUGGAU